UGCCGCGUGAAGGAAGACGGCCUUAUGGGUUGUAAACUUCUUUUAUACAGGAAGAAACCUUUCCACGUGUGGAAAGCUGACGGUACUGUAAGAAUAAGGAUCGGCUAACUCCGUGCCAGCAGCCGCGGUAAUACGGAGGAUCCAAGCGUUAUCCGGAAUUAUUGGGUUUAAAGGGUUCGCAGGCUGUUUGUUAAGUCAGAGGUGAAAUCCUACCGCUCAACGGUAGAACUGCCUUUGAUACUGGCAAACUUGAGUUAUUGUGAAGUAGUUAGAAUGUGUAGUGUAGCGGUGAAAUGCAUAGAUAUUACACAGAAUACCGAUUGCGAAAGCAGAUUACUAACAAUGUACUGACGCUGAGGGACGAAAGCGUGGGUAGCGAACAGGAUUAGAUACCCUGGUAGUCCACGCCGUAAACGAUGGUCACUAGCUGUUUGAUGUACAUUGGUACAUUGAGUGGCUAAGCGAAAGUGAUAAGUGACCCACCUGGGGAGUACGCUCGCAAGAGUGAAACUCAAAGGAAUUGACGGGGGCCCGCACAAGCGGUGGAGCAUGUGGUUUAAUUCGAUGAUACGCGAGGAACCUUACCAGGACUUAAAUGUAAGUUGCAUGAUUCAGAAAUGGAUCUUUCUUCGGACUACUUACAAGGUGCUGCAUGGUUGUCGUCAGCUCGUGCCGUGAGGUGUCAGGUUAAGUCCUAUAACGAGCGCAACCCCUAUCGUUAGUUGCCAUCAAGUAAAGUUGGGAACUCUAGCGAAACUGCCGGUGCAAACCGUGAGGAAGGUGGGGAUGACGUCAAAUCAUCACGGCCCUUACGUUCUGGGCUACACACGUGCUACAAUGGCCGGUACAGAAAGCAGCCACUAUGCGAAUAGGAGCUAACCUUCAAAGCCGGUCUCAGUUCGGAUCGCAGUCUGCAACUCGACUGCGUGAAGCUGGAAUCGCUAGUAAUCGGAUAUCAGCCAUGAUCCGGUGAAUACGUUCCCGGGCCUUGUACACACCGCCCGUCAAGCCAUGGAAGCUGGGGGUACCUAAAGUCGGUGACCGAAAGGAGCCGCCUAGGGUAAAACUAGUAACUGGGGCUAAGUCGUAACAAGGUAGCCGUACCGGAAGGUGCGGCUGGAAUACCUCCUUUCU
This 1134-nucleotide ribosomal RNA is filed under the name uncultured Flavobacteriaceae bacterium. RNAcentral describes it as "bacterial SSU rRNA". It matches the Rfam family "Bacterial small subunit ribosomal RNA", at positions 395 to 1533 of the family's 1533-position model. Lineage: Bacteria; Pseudomonadati; Bacteroidota; Flavobacteriia; Flavobacteriales; Flavobacteriaceae. The record is from RNAcentral.